Fundulus heteroclitus (mummichog) is the source of this 109-nucleotide small nucleolar RNA. Ensembl annotates it as small nucleolar RNA, C/D box 46. The record is from Ensembl. NCBI's taxonomy places the organism in Eukaryota, Metazoa, Chordata, Actinopteri, Cyprinodontiformes, Fundulidae.
GGCGUGGGUGAUGAAAACUUGCCCUUAGGUAGGCUCCUUUUUGUUCCGUUUUGGUUCAAAGCGUAGGGCCUACCGAUGGUAGGACUUGUCAUAGUUACACUGACACGCA